UUGCUAAAUGAUAAUGUUUUGGUUGCUGGUGAUUUCUACACUAUCAGUUUCUGGAAUGUCUCACCUGUUGGCACUCCGUUAACGAGUGUGUUCCAUUGAACCAAAAAUAAGGGAAUUUUCCUUUUCUUUUCCCUUCAUUUUAUUACUCAAUAAACCACUGCACCGAAUUUGGGAUUAUAUUUAUUUUCCAUUGGCAUAAAUAGUACUACUUGAUUUCGUGAAGUAAAAUGAUAGAAUUAGGUAUCUUGAUAUAUAUAUAUAUCCAAUGGGAUAUCCUAUAAUAUUAAUUCACUUAUCAUUAAAUGAAAUUUUUUGAACGAUUUAAUACCAAUUAGGAAAAAGAGGAAAAAAAAGAAACUCCACUUUUUUUGGGUAACUAAGGCCUCGUUUGCUUUUUUUAAGAUUAAGACAUCUGAAUUUGAAUGCACGUCCGAAUAUUAAAAUGUGGUAUGCAGAUCUGAACACUGAAUGAUUAAGAUUGUUUUCAACAUUUGAAUACGUAUAAUAUAUUUAUAUAUAUAUAUCAAGAUAAAAACAUAUACAAUUCAAAAAAAAAGUGAUUAAAUAUUACAUCAAUUAGUGAAAAUAUUAACUUGAACAAAAAAGUUAUUAUUUGAGAUAAAUUGAAAUAUUAUAAGAUAUAAAUUAAUAUUUUAUGUAAGAUCCAAUUGUUAAACUAUUUGAACUAUAAAUAAAAAUUAUAUAUAAUAACAAAAAUUGUAGUAAUGAAAUGUGACCAAAAAAAUAUUUUGAACGUAAAGUAUUCAUACAAGAUAUAUGACUUUUAGCUUAAUUUAGUAAUAUUAUUAUUUAUAUUAUCAAGUGUUAAUUCAAAUUAGUAAGAUAUGAGCCAUAUGUUUGCAAUGCAUUACCUUGGAUCUUGAUGUAAAAAAAUUUAUUUGCUAAUACAAAAAUUUGAGUAGUUUAAUUUGAAAGUCUAGAUAUUUCCUAUGUUAAAAAGUAAAUAUUUUUUGAUUUUUUAAAGCCUUUUUUACACAGAUUUUAUACUUUUUUCUACAAAGUUCAGAAUUGUCUAGGUCAAAAUAUUAUUACGUAUUUUACAACACCUUUUGGGACCCAUGAAGAUAAGUUGUAUAUUUCUAAGCAAAUAAUCUGUUUGAAGAUUGCAAAGAUGUAGUAAAUGGUAUGAUCUUAAACACAAAAUAGGAAAAAGAUUGAGAAAGUAAAGAAGCUAUUCUUGAAUAAACAAAAAAAAGUUAUGAUCUUAAACACAAAAUAGGAAAAAACAAUUGAGGAAGUAAAGAAGCUAUUCUUGAAUAAACAAAAGAAAGCAUGUUUCAAUUAUAAAACAUGUAACAUAUGACGAAUAAUUCAAGAGAAAUAGCACAUAAAUAUUCAGAAAGCACUGAAAUAUAAAUCUUACACAUUAUCCGAAUUCUAGCCAAAUAUGAAACUAUAGCGGCUUUAAUUUCAACAACACAAAACUUCAUUAUACAAUUCUAGCCAUAGCAAAGUUUCUUAAUUUUGGACGAGCUUAAUAAACACCAAUUACGGUUUAUAUUUCAACUAGACAAAUUGAAUUUCAGUCACUAAUAUGCAAUUCUUGAAGAAAACAAAAGAAGGUUCAAAAGGGACUAUGUGAAUCUGCAAAAGAGAAAAAAACAUUGCUAACAUUUUGGAACACAUCCCAAUUAAGAAUUACGAUUUAGAGAAUCAGGAUGUCAACAAAAUCAAGAAAAAACAUCGCUAACAAUUUAGAACACGUCCCAAUUAAGAUUUACGAUUUAGAGAAACGGGAUGUCAACAAAAUCAAGAAAAAUUACAGAAAAUUCAGAGAUUCAAUCAAAAUAGAAUAUCCAAAAGUGAGAGCAAACACAAAUAAGAGGCAAGCAAAACCUUCUAGUUUAGCCCCUUCUCAAUCGUAUUUCUAAAUGGGUUUUUUAAAACCCUAAACUCGAAACUGAAAUUUACCAUUAGUCAAGCAAAACCUUCUAGUUUAACCCCUUCUCAAUCGUAUUUUAAAAGGAGGUUUCUUAAACCCUAAACUCGAAACUGAAAUUUACCAUUAGAAAAGUGGAAACAAGAUGGAGAAUUCCAACUAUAAUUUUCAAAAUCUUAC
Molecule: long non-coding RNA, 2080 nt
Filed under: Nicotiana benthamiana
Lineage: Eukaryota; Viridiplantae; Streptophyta; Magnoliopsida; Solanales; Solanaceae
Description: long non-coding RNA (NBEN_LNC014289)
Source: RNAcentral